GGCAAUUAAACCUAAAACCCAGCAAAGAUUAUCACCUUUUACCUGAUAGCAAAAGGGUCCACCAGACGGAGUUGGAUUGCGCUGAAUUUGACAAAGACACAAUUAAGGUCAUUGUCAGAGGCGAAUUGAUAUUAGUUCAAGGUACCAAAAAAAAUCAACGAGACGAAACCACCUUGACGUAUGACAUUCCAGAUCAGUGUGAUUUGGCAAGAAUCGA
This is a long non-coding RNA of Copidosoma floridanum, 217 nucleotides long. The record is from RefSeq and is a predicted model, not a curated record. Lineage: Eukaryota; Metazoa; Arthropoda; Insecta; Hymenoptera; Encyrtidae.